RNAcentral lists this ribosomal RNA (253 nucleotides) under uncultured bacterium. RNAcentral's name for it is "partial 16S ribosomal RNA". It matches the Rfam family "Bacterial small subunit ribosomal RNA", at positions 524 to 776 of the family's 1533-position model. The record is from RNAcentral.
UACGGAGGGUGCAAGCGUUGUUCGGAAUUACUGGGCGUAAAGCGCGCGUAGGCGGCUUUUUAAGUCAGAUGUGAAAGUCCACGGCUCAACCGUGGAAGUGCAUUUGUUACUGGGAAGCUUGAGUACUGGAGGGGAUGGUGGAAUUCCCGGUGUAGAGGUGAAAUUCGUAGAUAUCGGGAGGAAUACCGGUGGCGAAGGCGACCCUCUGGCCAGAUACUGACGCUGAGGUGCGAAAGCGUGGGGAGCAAACAGG